Long non-coding RNA from Capra hircus (goat), 6657 nucleotides. RefSeq lists it as uncharacterized. The record is from RefSeq and is a predicted model, not a curated record. The transcript has 2 exons. Lineage: Eukaryota; Metazoa; Chordata; Mammalia; Artiodactyla; Bovidae.
ACACUGCAGGGGGAAGGGGACAGGGUGAGAAUGAACUCUAACAGUAACUUAAUAGUAAACCCCAGGCCCUACAGGGCCAGCACCACCCAGACCAAGGGAGAGCUCCGCACAGCAGCCAGAGCCGCUGAGGCAGUCUCAGUGAUGAACGCAGGAACGGUUGCUUAGGACUGUCCCCCCUCCUGCUAAGGACAGUCAUCCCCGUAGGAGGGUGAGCCCAGGGGAACCUCCACAGUGGCCUCACACCAGGCCAGCCUGAGUUAAGUAAGGAGUGUCUGUUGUGCUCUGGCCAGAGCUGGCCAACACUACUGGUUUAUAAACCAGGGAGCACCCUAUUCCAAAUCUUACAGGGGAACUGGGGGCAGGGGGUUGGGGGGGCUUCCUCAGAUACACCUAAGCCAUCUCCCAAGAGCAAGAGGGUAACUAUAAUCUAAAGGGGCUUUAGGCUUUAAAAGAUUAAUCAAGAAUCUUGUUUUUUUUCAUACCUGACCAAUGCAGAAUGUGCUCCAGCCUCUAAACUUUUGCACAAAGCAAUGGAAGGUAGGAUGAAAACCUGGGUAAGUGGGAGGGUAUGGCUGGAGCUUGGUACUCUUAUGUUUCCUCUGAAUGGAGUAGGAACUUGGAGCCCUGUCAGGGCUAAGUGCUCUAUUAGGAGAGAUGAGUGCUAAACAAUCCCUAGAUCAAGAAGGACCCCCAGCCGCCCUUUACUCAUCAACUGACUUGUGGCUGACAUCAGCCUCACUUCCUGUUAGAAUAUCUGAUGGUUGACUGUGGCCUCAGAGGAUCUGCAGACACUUUUAAGAAAAUCCCAAAACAGCUACCAUCAUCAAACUCAGGUUAUAAAGCAGUAAGGAUCUUAUUUUUUUUUUGCAAGUUCAUGAAUACAUGAAUCUUCUAAGUUAAACCAAUCCUUGGGCAGUCGUCUUUCAGUUCUGUUUUUGCGUAUCUGUUUUUAUACCUCCUCGCUUGGCAGCUCCUCUCUCUCGAGCCUGGUAUAGUAGCUAAAACACGCUGGGUACUGUGAGCUUGUUCAAGUUCUGUUGUAUCAGCUGCCCUCCACAGAGAUAGCCCUUUCUCCUCUCACGGCACAGGUCUAAUCUCAUUUGGCCCCACUCAGCGACAUAGGAAAAACUGUUCAGGGUCUGGGAGUCAAGACCCACCACCAGGGGAGCCUAGUCAAAAAGAAGACCACCUGAUAAGGCCAUGACCUGGUUUAGUCUUAACAGUAACUGUGUGCUGGAUGUUCCCAUCUCACAGGUAAGGAACUUGAGGCUCACGAAGGUCAGGUCUCUUGUGCAAGCACAGAAACAGCCAGAGCAGGAAUGUGAGCCCAGGCCCCAGCUAAGGUAGCAAAGGGACCAGGAGGAGCCCGGGAGUGAAUGGGCUCCAGGACAGUCCUCUCUUACCAGGCAGCGCCCACCCAACUCUGGGGUCACCAGAGCAGGAAAGCCCCAGGCAGCGCAACCUGCCAUUUCUGCCCCGAUGACCAACCCAGGUUCCCAGCCUCCCCUGAUCCUGCAUGGGUAGCGCUGGACAGGGAAACCCAAAACGCAGCUGGCUGUUGCUUCCCUUGCCUAAUCUCUGGUUGCAUUCUCCUUGUCAGUGGACUGGCUCUGCUGCCCUGAGGACAGAAAGGCUCCCUCCCCUGCAAAGGCAGCCUGCUGGACCCAGGCCAGAGACCUAGCCCAUGGCUGGGCUCCUGUGUGCUGGGCCCUGCAGUCUCUCUCAAGCUGCCUUUAUGGAGGUGCUCACUACUCAGCCCGUGCUAAGGGCCUUCACAGCCCCACCGGACACCUGUCUGCUCCCAGCUUCCCCACUCCCAACCCUUCCUCCUGUCAGAACCACUGACCCACAGGUAGCUUCAUCAGGAAGACAAAGAUGUCUCCGUCUUGCCUCCUCUGUCACCUUCCUCCUCUAGUCCACAUCCGUCCUAGACAGGGCUUAUUUCACAUGACGUCCUCCACAGCCUGGUGCAGUAGAGACUCUGAGCUGAUUACCCCCAGACAGUGGUUACAGAGGUUAGAAAUAGUCAGUCUGGCUAAAAAAAACCCCCAAAAAACAGAACUUCAAGCCCGAGGGCUGUGUCAGCCUUGAUGGGGGUAGUUAGUGCUGUACCUACCUUAGAAACCCGGUCAGUUAUUUCCUGGAGCACUGAGUCUUCCAAAGCCCUUAUUAUGACUUUUUCCUUCACAUUAGCUGAGGACAGAACCUAUCCCCACAGACUGUAGAGAAGAUGGGGGUGGUGGUGGUGGAGUCUGUGUGGUAAAGUAAGUCUGGAGGUAUGAGUGAAGUGAUUUCCUUGCUUUUCUUCCCAUCGCCAAAGCAGGGAUGAUGGGCACAGGAGAAUGCUCUGAGGAACGCCUCACAGCACUCACUGUGGGGCCCAGGAACUCCGUAUUUUAUAACUGCAUCUUCCUAGGUGCCCUUCCUACCUGCGCAGUCUGAGGUACUGCACCUCCAGAGGGGCCUGCUGCACUGAGCUGCCGGUCUGGUCUGCCCACCCCACCUCGAGGUUUCUGCUCCUCACAUCCUCUACUGUGCCACCUGUCCCCAUCCCUGCCCUGCAGUGGUGAACCCCGCUUCCCCUUGAGAGCUCCCAUAUUGCCCUAGCUCAGCAGUCAGGAUGCAGCCGUGCUGCCCGAGUCCUGGGCCGGGACAGCCUCCCUGGGUACCUUAAGUCAGGGCACUGUAUAUACACCACAGCUUCGCUGGCCGUACUGGUUCCCCAGCAGGAGCUGGGGCGUAGAGGAUUCUAACACAGGUGUUUCCACACCCAGGCCACAUGAGCCUUACUGGCAACUGGCCUGUACUGGCAAGCUGAGCAUGGGGGCAUGGUUAUGUAAGAUGUUAAACAUUAAGGGAGGCUGGAUCAAGAGUAUACAGCAACUGUACUAUUUCUGACUCAUCUGUAAAUCUACAAUUAUUCCAGAAUUUAAAAAAAAAUUUUUCUUUUAAAGGAAGGAACAAUGGAGCAGGAUCAAAAGUGCAGUGGGAGCAGUCAGUGCCCAGUGAGGGGCACUGGGUCCGGCAUGGUGCAGAGACUGCUCACACAGCGCUCCUACUUAGGGGUCCAGUGCCCCCUUGUGGCCAGCCUGGGCGCCAGCUCCUGCUGAUGCAGGCAGGCCUUCACAGAUGGGCCCACACGCAGAGCACCCAAAAGGCUUACCAUCCCAUUUGCUGCGUAGUGUGUCAGGAGUCAAGGCCACCUUAUUCAGCCUGUGCCCUGGUCCCAGGAAGGGACUGAACAGACUCUCAAUUUCCAGAAAACUGUGGGUGAGUUGGAGAGCAGGUCUAGGGGUUCCUUCACCAGCUUGUCUGCCUUGCCCUGACACAGCCCUUUGGUACCAACCUUCAGUGUCCUCAGCCCCAUUCCAGGGGUGUGGCCUGCAGAGGGGCAGGUACUCAGAGUUGCCACAUGAAUGCAGGUGCAAAGACAGCGUGAGUAGUGGUGGUAUCGGGCUUGGGGGUGUAGAGGGAAGGGUGAGUGAGCAUGUGUGUGACUUGGAGGCCCAGCCUAGGUCAGAAAGGCCCAGGGGAGCUGAGCAGACUCUGGCAGAGGAUCCUCAUCCACUGUCUUGCCUCAGCUGGAAGCAGAGAAGACAGAUGCAAGAUGCUUGGAGGCAUGCAGCCCCCUGGGCCCAGGUGCCUGCUCACCAAGUCCUGGGGUCUUCUCCAGGGCCACCAGCCACACCAACCAGCGGUCCCAAAUUCUAGGACUACCAUAGUGUACACCCAGGGGGCAGGUAUUCACAUGGGCUACUCAGAACCCCGGUUCCGGGCACGCACUGGGCAAGUAGGGCUCCAGGCCACACAGGGACCCGGGCAGGAAUGUGAGUGGAGACUCAGCCAAAGGCUCCAGUUCUCAGUCAGCCCCAUCCUGGAAUCUGAAACCUUGACUUGCUCAGCUCAGACAUUUUAAAUGAUUAAUCAAGGGCUUUGAAGUGGUAAUUGAGCCUUAGCAGGCCAUUAGUUCUUGUGCCUGCAUCUGUCUGCAGUCCCAGCCCAGGAAGUUAGUAAGGAGAAGCAGAUACAAAAGACCGGGGCCUCACAGACAGUUCUGACAUCUCGGGCCUUCUUGCUCCAGAAACGAAGGAAGCUGUACCUUGGCCUCUUGUGCAGGCUCAGACCAGUGGUGGGCACCCCAUGCUGCUCCUUUACUGCCGAGACCACCACAGCCCAGUGCCGCCCCAGGAGUGCCCCCGGCAGAGGUGACAGCUCUGCCAGAGGCAGGAGGCCUGUGGUCAGUGCUCAGCUGUCUUCACCCCAUCUUCUAAACCAGCAUCCAAAACAACAUAAGAAGGCCAGCCUUCCGCGAGGUAUCAGAGGAUGCCAAACAGCCCUCCUACUGCUCAGACCAAGAGGGAGGAAGAGGGAAAAAUCGUAAUGCAUCUGAGGAAUAAGUACAAUCUCAAGACGGCCCCAGGACAGCUCCUGCGCCUUCCAAGCAGCCAGAGAGAACACACUGCUGGCUGAGGAUGCACUUGCGCUUUCCUUGGAUGUGCACGUACGGCGGGACCAUUUUUGACUCAGCACAAGGGGGCUGCACUCGGGACGGAAGCUGUCCUAAAGGCAGUACCCCUCUGCCACCUGCUCUGAAGGCCAUGAGCACCAGAGCUGAAGACCUGAGGUGCCAGGAGUUCCAAUGUAGCCUCUACAACCACGUGUGCUGCCUGGCAGUGUGCACCAAGCUUCGUCUUGACAACUUGGCCACAGUGAGCACCCCGGGCCCACAUCUACCGAAAUGCCCCAGGCUGACGCAAGGGCUGAACAGCUUAGGGGACGGAUGCUCUAUUCAAGCUUAUAAAAUGAAAAACCUAGAUAAAUCUUUUUUUAUUUUUUCUAAAAAUCUGAGAAGAUAAUCAAGAGCUACUGCUUCCGCUGAUGAGAAAAGAAAAUAGGUGAUCAAAAGGGAAACUCAAAUGAUUGGCCAGGGUGACGGCCAAUCACCUAUCAGUGAGUGGCCUUGUAUACCCGGAGACCAAGAGACAGGACACUCGGUGUUCUUGAAUCCUGAAUUCAGCCAAGAGACUAGGGAGGGGACUGAAGAACAGUGAUGGGAGGAAUACGCAGGCUGAGAAUGUACACGGCGAGCUCUCAGCACCGGCUAUUCUGCUCCAAGUCUGUGUAUGCCAUUGCCUCGGAUUAGAGGAACCAUGGUGUGACCUAGGGAAGGUCAAAGGGAAGUGUAUGAGAAGUCCUGACGUCAUGGCUGAUGUUACUACAGCAGACAGGAGGAUGCGAUUCAUUAUAUUGUGAUGCGUCAUGAAUGUGUUUCUAAUGUCGGUUUUUAAGAAAUAAAUACGAGUGAGGCUGCUAUGCCAGGCAGAAGAAAUUAAGGAGACUCUAGAAAAAAUUCAGAUCAUGCCCAGUAUAGGACAGUUCUAUGACCUUGUGGCUGCGGUUUAAAGACCCCAAGGCAGGGAGAUUCCUUUAAUGACUGGCAGGUCUUGCUCACAACCUACUCAGGAAGGAGGCAGAGAUCAAGGUUGUGAAUGAUGGUGGCUGACCUGCCUCAGAGCAGGACUUGGCCCACAAGCCCCUCAACAUUACUGGUCAUCUUUUCAUGACUGUUCCUACCCAAUUCGAUGUAGACACACCUCUACCACAAAGCUUCAAAAGACACCAAUACAAUCAAUCAUAAGCUAGAAUUAUCACAACAGAGCAAAUGAGGGAGCAGGCUGCCUGGCUUCAUUAGAGGUUAUGGCAUAUAAGAGGGAACAAGUGAAGUGAAAGUCGCUCAGUCGUGUCCACCUCUUUGUAAUCCCAUGGACUAUAGAGUGCAUGGAAUUCUCCAGGCCAGAAUACUAGAGUGGGUAGCCUUUCCCUUCUCCAGGGAUCUUCCCAACCCAGGGAUUGAACCCAAGGUCUCCCACAUUGCAGGCGGAUUCUUUACCAGCUGAGCCACAAGGGAAGCGCAAGAGGGAACAAGUCAUGCCAUUAAAUACCCGCCAAGCCUCAUAAUCUAUAGACUUAAUGCAAUUCUAAUCAUAAUCCCAACCAUUUUUUAUAGAUAAACUGAUUCUAAAAUAUAUGGAAAGUCAAGAGAACUAGAAUAACAAAAAAUAUGGAAAAAGAAUAAAGUUGGAGGACUUAAUGCUACCUUAUUUUAUGGUUAAUAUAAAGCUACAGGAGUCCCGACAGUCACAGUUCAGGAGAAGGGAGUGACACAGACGACAGGAGGGGCAUGGAGGGCGGCAGCAGCGCCACAGGCACAUGCCAGCUGGCGUCUGACAAUAUGCAGAAGCAACUCCAUGCAGAAAGGACAGUCUUUCCAAACAAAUGUUGAAACAGCUGGCGCACAAAACCCCAAAAACUUCAACCAUUUUAAGCCCCACGUUUUAUGUAAACAUUAACCCCAAAUGGCUCAUAGACCUAAAUGUAAAACUAUAAAAUUUUUAGAAGAAAUAGAUUCUUCAUGACCCGGAGUUACGCAAAGAGUUCUCAAAUCUAACAGCAAAAGCAUGAUACUUUGGAUUUAAUAAAAAUUAAGACUUUUGCUCUAUGGAAGACACUGUUGAGAUGAAAAGACAAGCUACAGACUGGGAGAAAAUAUAUGGAAAUAACAUCUAGUACAGACCUUGUAUCUAAAAUGUAGAAACACUCUCAAAACCCUACAGUGAGAAGUCAACAGACAUGUCACCAAAUAGGAUUUGAGAAGAA